RNAcentral lists this ribosomal RNA (254 nucleotides) under uncultured bacterium. RNAcentral describes it as "partial 16S ribosomal RNA". It matches the Rfam family "Bacterial small subunit ribosomal RNA", at positions 524 to 776 of the family's 1533-position model. The record is from RNAcentral.
GACAGAGGGUGCAAACGUUGUUCGGAAUUACUGGGCGUAAAGGGCGCGUAGGCGGCGGUGUAAGUUGGAAGUGAAAUCCCAUCGGCUCAACCGUGGAAUUGCUCCCAGUACUGCAUCGCUCGAGGGGGAUAGGGGUUUGCGGAACUACCGGUGGAGCGGUGAAAUGUGUUGAUAUCGGUGGGAACGCCAGUGGCGAAAGCGGCAAACUUGACCCUUCCUGACGCUGAGGCGCGAAAGCUAGGGGAGCAAACGGG